Molecule: long non-coding RNA, 575 nt
Filed under: Homo sapiens (human)
Lineage: Eukaryota; Metazoa; Chordata; Mammalia; Primates; Hominidae
Description: HSALNT0024753
Source: RNAcentral
CACAACGACUUCCUCUACUUCCAACACCUAAAGAUAAUGGCACUGGUUCCACAGCAAGUGUGGGAAUGAUUUUACACAAUAGUAUCUGGGAAAAUAUUUACUUCUGGCCCACUGGCAAAGGAUUGGCCUUUUUAUAUUGUUCUGAAGUUAACUUCAGAGGAGGUCCUUCCCUGAAAAGUCACAGCUGAAGGAACUCACUGCAGACGGUGACUGUUCCUAUGAAGGAUCCUUCUGCCUUUUCAUAACCUGUGUGCUGUUGUUUAAUUCUCAUGGAGAAUGACAAGUUCCACUAAAAUAUGCACAUGGCAUCUCCAAGAAACAGAAGCAAGAAUUAAAGUGAAGGGGUGGUAGGCAAAAAAGGCCAAGAAUGACCAUGAUUAGACCAAGGAACUUCCACUUCCAAGCCGUAGCUGGCUGCAUCCUCUUCAUGACUCUUGGGAAAAUAUUUUCUGUGGAGUCUAAAAGAAACAAAAAUACACCUGAAAAGAAAAAAAGGAUAAAGGAUUGUCUCCUAAUAACUUUCCACGCCAAGCAAAACUACAUGCAAGGAUUUUUAAGCCAAACUACAGAUCUUC